CGGACGCUGACGAGUGGCGAACGGGUGAGUAAUACAUCGGAACGUGCCCAGUCGUGGGGGAUAACUACUCGAAAGAGUAGCUAAUACCGCAUACGAUCUGAGGAUGAAAGCGGGGGACCUUCGGGCCUCGCGCGAUUGGAGCGGCCGAUGGCAGAUUAGGUAGUUGGUGGGAUAAAAGCUUACCAAGCCGACGAUCUGUAGCUGGUCUGAGAGGACGACCAGCCACACUGGGACUGAGACACGGCCCAGACUCCUACGGGAGGCAGCAGUGGGGAAUUUUGGACAAUGGGCGAAAGCCUGAUCCAGCAAUGCCGCGUGCAGGAUGAAGGCCUUCGGGUUGUAAACUGCUUUUGUACGGAACGAAAAAGUCUCCUCUAAUACAGGGGGCCCAUGACGGUACCGUAAGAAUAAGCACCGGCUAACUACGUGCCAGCAGCCGCGGUAAUACGUAGGGUGCGAGCGUUAAUCGGAAUUACUGGGCGUAAAGCGUGCGCAGGCGGUUUUGUAAGACAGAGGUGAAAUCCCCGGGCUCAACCUGGGAACUGCCUUUGUGACUGCAAGGCUAGAGUACGGCAGAGGGGGAUGGAAUUCCGCGUGUAGCAGUGAAAUGCGUAGAUAUGCGGAGGAACACCGAUGGCGAAGGCAAUCCCCUGGGCCUGUACUGACGCUCAUGCAC
This 676-nucleotide ribosomal RNA is filed under the name Delftia litopenaei. RNAcentral describes it as "bacterial SSU rRNA". It matches the Rfam family "Bacterial small subunit ribosomal RNA", at positions 81 to 754 of the family's 1533-position model. Lineage: Bacteria; Pseudomonadati; Pseudomonadota; Betaproteobacteria; Burkholderiales; Comamonadaceae. The record is from RNAcentral.